Molecule: ribosomal RNA, 389 nt
Filed under: Escherichia coli
Lineage: Bacteria; Pseudomonadati; Pseudomonadota; Gammaproteobacteria; Enterobacterales; Enterobacteriaceae
Description: bacterial SSU rRNA
Rfam family: Bacterial small subunit ribosomal RNA
Source: RNAcentral
GGUUUAAUUCGAUGCAACGCGAAGAACCUUACCUGGUCUUGACAUCCACAGAACUUUCCAGAGAUGGAUUGGUGCCUUCGGGAACUGUGAGACAGGUGCUGCAUGGCUGUCGUCAGCUCGUGUUGUGAAAUGUUGGGUUAAGUCCCGCAACGAGCGCAACCCUUAUCCUUUGUUGCCAGCGGUCCGGCCGGGAACUCAAAGGAGACUGCCAGUGAUAAACUGGAGGAAGGUGGGGAUGACGUCAAGUCAUCAUGGCCCUUACGACCAGGGCUACACACGUGCUACAAUGGCUCAUACAAAGAGAAGCGACCUCGCGAGAGCAAGCGGACCUCAUAAAGUGCGUCGUAGUCCGGAUUGGAGUCUGCAACUCGACUCCAUGAAGUCGGAAU